RNAcentral lists this ribosomal RNA (1054 nucleotides) under Rhodotorula sp. DT3. RNAcentral describes it as "eukaryotic LSU rRNA". The stretch from base 139 to 292 matches the Rfam family "5.8S ribosomal RNA". Lineage: Eukaryota; Fungi; Basidiomycota; Microbotryomycetes; Sporidiobolales; Sporidiobolaceae. The record is from RNAcentral.
GUACGUGACCUGCGGCAUAUCAAUAAGCGGAGGAAUCCGUAGGUGAUCUGCGGCAUGUCAAUAAACGGAGGAAUCCGUAAGUACCCUUGCCUUAUAUCACUCAAAGUCUGAAAAUGUAUGUAAUUUAUAACAAAACAAAACUUUCAACAACGGAUCUCUUGGCUCUCGCAUCGAUGAAGAACGCAGCGAAAUGCGAUACGUAAUGUGAAUUGCAGAAUUCAGUGAAUCAUCGAAUCUUUGAACGCACCUUGCGCUCCUUGGUAUUCCGAGGAGCAUGCCUGUUUGAGUGUCAUGAAAUCUUCAACCCACCUCUUUCUUAGUGAAUCUGGUGGUGCUUGGUUUCUGAGCGCUGCUCUGCUUCGGCUUAGCUCGUUCGUAAUGCAUUAGCAUCCGCAACCGAACUUCGGAUUGACUUGGCGUAAUAGACUAUUCGCUGAGGAUUCUAGUUUACUAGAGCCGAGUUGGGUUAAAGGAAGCUCCUAAUCCUAAAGUCUAUUUUUUGAUUAGAUCUCAAAUCAGGUAGGACUACCCGCUGAACUUAAGCAUAUCAAUAAGCCGGAGGAANGAUCAGUAGGGAAUCUCGGACGUCCAACUUAACUUGGAAUCCGAACUCUCACUUUCUAACCCUGUGCAUCUGUUAAUUGGAAUAGUAGCUCUGCGGAGUGAACCACCAUUCAUUAUAACACAAAGUCUAUGAAUGUAUACAAUUUAUACAAACAAACUUUCACAACGGACUUGGGCUCUGCAUCGAUAAAAAGCACGAAUGCGAUACGUAUGUGAAUUGCAAAUCAUGAAUCACGAACUUGACGCACUGCGCUCUGGUAUUCAGAGCAGCGUUUGAGUGUCAGAAAUCUUCACCACUCUUCUAGUGAUCUGUGUGCUGGUUUCUGACGCUGCUCUGCUUCGCUACUGUGUAAGCAUACAUCGCACGAAUUGAAUGACUGGCUAAAAACAUCCUGAGAUCUGUUACUAAGCCAGUGGGUAAGGAGUCUAUCUAAGUCAUUUUUGAUAAUCUCAUCAGUGGAACCCCUGACUAAGCAUAAUAACCGAAGAA